Molecule: long non-coding RNA, 518 nt
Organism: Folsomia candida
Lineage: Eukaryota; Metazoa; Arthropoda; Collembola; Entomobryomorpha; Isotomidae
Exons: 3
Source: RefSeq, a predicted model, not a curated record
GGGUGAUUGCAGCGUUCACCCGUCUAUAAAAGCGAUCCGAUAUUACUAAAGGUUUGUCAGUAACAACUCAACAAUAACAACGAACGCUCCCUAAAUAAGAUUGAAUUUGGUCUUAAGAGAAAAAUCCGCGACACCAUGAAGUCAACGAUGCUGUUUCUCGUCAUUCUUCUUGUCGCAUUGGUUGCACAAGGUCAACCAGCAGGAUUCUGUAAAGAUUUGGAGGACGCUUGUGAACGCAAUCGUGGCGACUUUCUGUGGUGCGAUACUAUUCUAGAGGUUAAGGCAUCUUGCUUUAUUUGGGACUCUCCUGACAAUUAUUUCGAAACCACGUGUGAAGGUUUCUCGUGCAGGUAUCACGGUACAACGGCUAUGCGCACUUGCACAUGCGGGCCAUUGUAAAUUUGAAGAUUUAGCGGAAUUAAUAAUUGAAAAUCAUGGUGUAAUAGUUUCCAUCGCAAAUUAAAAAAAAAUAAUUAUUAUGCAUAAAUAAAUUUGUUUAACUUGUCAGUUAUGUUCAA